Long non-coding RNA from Armigeres subalbatus, 1188 nucleotides. RefSeq lists it as uncharacterized. The record is from RefSeq and is a predicted model, not a curated record. NCBI's taxonomy places the organism in Eukaryota, Metazoa, Arthropoda, Insecta, Diptera, Culicidae. The transcript has 3 exons.
UGCCACCGCACCGACAUCGCCAGUAGUUUGUAAAAUUUCCUUAUUUUUAUUUUUCACGCAGUCGGUCGAAGUUGAGAAUAGUUGAUCCGAAAGUUUUUUAUAUAAGGCUGAAUAUAAGGUUGGAACUUCUCAACUAUCUUUUCAAAAUCAGCAGAUCAGCAGCACCUCCUCGUAAUCGGCGAAUGACGAAUAAUCGCAGACAGCAGGACCGGAAGCUAGUUCCAGAACCAUAGGCGGAGAACUUCUGCUGAAAGCUGCGAAUCUCUGACCACUUAGAAUAUUCUUGAGAGGUACCAAUGAAAUCGAUAAAUCCUCCAGCAACCGUCUAACAACUCCAACGGGAAUGUUCGCUCCAAUCUGCAGGUUUCUCAUCCUGUUCCCGAUAAAUAACCAUAUUUGGAAGUGGCUGGAUAACGAGGAGAAAAACAAUUAACUGGAAAAGGUAAAGGAAAUUUAAACGGAACGUGAAUUCCUAGCUGCUUUUGGAUGCUGCUACUAAAAUAACAUCCGGAUUUCAGAUUUUUCGAAUUGGAUGGAUCUAUUUGCGGUCAGUCGCAAAUCGGAUCAUUCAGCAUUCAGCAUAUCUGCGUCCGGGGGAGUUACCAUCCGCCAGCUGUCAUCAGUUCCAUAAUAGCAUGCCGUUCCGCACAGCUUACUCCACCACACCACACUGACCCGUAGCUGCUGCUGAAGGAUGUUCCGGUUCGUUCGGGAUUCCAGAAUGGCAGAACUUCCACACCAGUUUUUAGUGCUUACUCCCUCACUUUCGUGCCAGUGCUGCUGUCGAGGCUGCUGCUGAAGGAUGUUCCGGUUCGUUCGGGAUUGCUGCCAUCAGCCACUGUUGUUGGUAAUGCAACCAGCAACACGAAAGUUGAAGAAUAAAAUGGAUUCAUACUAUUUUAUGAAAAACACGGUAGUUAGAAUAAUAAAAUAAUUUGCAUGUAUAUAACCAAUCAAAUAUUUUACUUAUAUUUAUAAGAAUAAUUUUUAUCCAAUAAUAUUUUCAAAACAAGAACAGGAAAAUAUCACCCAUAUUUAGGUGAAUUUCACCUAUAACAGAAUACUCAUAAAUAGGUAAACAUUACCAAUAUUCCCAUGCGCCACUUGUACUCAAAUAUGGGUAAAUGGUACUUCACCCAUAAAUAGGUAUGUGCACUUUUUCGAGAUUAUAGGUACUGUUCACCCAUA